GAGCUAGUGUGGUGUAGUGGUUUGAAUGCUGGACUGGGACUCAGGAGACUAGGGUUCAGAUCCCAGCUAGGCCA
Molecule: non-coding RNA, 74 nt
Organism: Phrynosoma platyrhinos (Desert horned lizard)
Lineage: Eukaryota; Metazoa; Chordata; Lepidosauria; Squamata; Phrynosomatidae
Source: the annotation of a GenBank genome assembly